GAUGAACGCUGGCGGCGUGCUUAACACAUGCAAGUCGAGCGAAGCAUUUGCAGUUGAUUUCUUCGGAUUGAUUCUGUUUAUGACUGAGCGGCGACGGGUGAAGUAACGCGUGGGAACCUGCCUCAUACAGGGGGAUAACAGUUAGAAACGACUGCUAAUACCGCAUAAGCCCACGACCCGGCAUCGGGUUGAGGGAAAAGGAGCGAUCCGCUUUGAGAUGGCCUCGCGUCCGAUUAGCUAGUUGGUGAGGUAACGGCCCACCAAGGCGACGAUCGGUAGCCGGACUGAGAGGUUGAACGGCCACAUUGGGACUGAGACACGGCCCAG
This 327-nucleotide ribosomal RNA is filed under the name uncultured bacterium. Its description in RNAcentral is "bacterial SSU rRNA". It matches the Rfam family "Bacterial small subunit ribosomal RNA", at positions 28 to 334 of the family's 1533-position model. The record is from RNAcentral.